RNAcentral lists this small nucleolar RNA (128 nucleotides) under Tupaia belangeri (northern tree shrew). RNAcentral's name for it is "Small nucleolar RNA SNORA72 (ENSTBEG00000020611.1)". It matches the Rfam family "Small nucleolar RNA SNORA72". Rfam says of the family: U72 is a member of the H/ACA class of snoRNAs. The snoRNA gene is located in intron 4 of the ribosomal L30 protein gene in human, mouse and chicken. Lineage: Eukaryota; Metazoa; Chordata; Mammalia; Scandentia; Tupaiidae. The record is from RNAcentral.
CUGUGAAUAUUCUCAUGAUUCUGAAUCUGUAAUAAUCAGACAGGUUAACCGUUUGAUAUAUUGAGAGCAUGCAUAUGUCCCCAAACCUAGUUCUUUCCCUUUGUCUGGAUUAUAAAUGCUGUAUAGCC